GACGAACGCUGGCGGCGUGCUUAACACAUGCAAGUCGAACGGAAAGGCCCUGCUUUUGUGGGGUGCUCGAGUGGCGAACGGGUGAGUAACACGUGAGUAACCUGCCCUUGACUUUGGGAUAACUUCAGGAAACUGGGGCUAAUACCGGAUAGGAGCUCCUGCUGCAUGGUGGGGGUUGGAAAGUUUCGGCGGUUGGGGAUGGACUCGCGGCUUAUCAGCUUGUUGGUGGGGUAGUGGCUUACCAAGGCUUUGACGGGUAGCCGGCCUGAGAGGGUGACCGGCGACCAUGGGACUACGGUACGGACCAGAAUCCAACGGGAGGCAGCAGUGGAGAGUAUUGCACAGUGGGCGGGAGCGUGUGGCGGCAGCGCCGCGUGCGGGAUGACGGCCUUCGGGUUAUAAACAGCUUUCGCCUGUGACGAAGCGUGAGUGACGGUAAUGGGUCAAAAAGCACCGGCUAACUACGUG
Molecule: ribosomal RNA, 468 nt
Filed under: uncultured bacterium
Lineage: Bacteria
Description: partial 16S ribosomal RNA
Rfam family: Bacterial small subunit ribosomal RNA
Source: RNAcentral